UAUGAUUUGUGAGUUAGCUCCCUGAUCCAUCUACCUUUGCGUGUUUCUGGGGGGCAAAACUCAGAAGUCAAAAAGUCUUCUCUGUUGACUUAUAUAAGUUGACCUCAAAUUGCGGUUCAUCUAACAUAAUUGCAGAUAAUUGGAGAUUCUCCUUCUUUAUCACUCUUUCAUGGCCACAACAGAAAAGACAGUGGCAGGGCAGUGGUCCAAUCUACCAAAGGAAUUGUUGUCACUCAUAGCCAACCACCACCUCCACUCCGUCACCAUCCACAUCCUCCGCAUCCGCGCCACCUGCACCUCAUGGCGCUCCGUCAUUCCUCCUCCCCUUCCUCCUCCUCCCUCUCACACCAUCUUUGGUCAACGGAUCUCCAUCCGUUGGUCCAAUUUCACGGUCACACAAACCUCAAUCUUCUACCGUCUCCACUACCAACCAUCUUCAAUUUCAUCUUCUUCUGAGAAGGGAUGGAUCAUCAUGGUCGGAAAUUCCACAUCCAAUCCAGUUCAGCUCUUGGAUCCAUUCACCGACCAACCGCUCUCAGAAACGGUUACACACCCAUAUGACUGUAAAACUCCACCAAAGCUCCUCAGCCUCUGCAACUUCCGCUUGGUUGAGUUAUUUGAAGCCUAUGCGCUCACACAGUUCGUUACUCGUCAAGAAGGCGAUUCCGGGUCCACUUCUUUCACGCCUUUUGAUCUUGUUAAAGCAAUAUUGUUUCCGAAUUCAACUUCCCAAACUUUUGAUGAGUCAUCACGCAUGGUUUUUGCACUCUACAGCAGUGGGAGGCUGUCGGUUUCAAGAAUUGAUGAAGAUGAGGGUUGGACUGCCCUAAACCAUGGGAAUUCUAGUUUUGAUGAUGUCAUCCUCCGCAAUGGGCAGCUUUAUGCUGUGGACAAGUGUGGAACCAUCUUCUGGGUCGAUUGUUCGACCAUGAAGCUGGUUCAGUUCAGUCCAAUCCUUUGUGAUUUUGAGGCAAAGAAGAAGAAGCGGUUGGUGGAUUGUAAUGGGAGCCUCUAUUUGGUUGAUAUUGAUACUGACAUUGAAAAGAAAGAAUAUUAUGAUGAGAAUAAUAAGGCUAUCAAGGUUUACAAGCUUGAUAUGGAUCAUGGGUGGCUCAAUGCGGAGAACUUGGGUAACGUGGUUUUUGUGUUGGGUGCAAGCUGCAGUUUUUCUCUCAGUGUUGAAGACUACCAUGGCUGCGAAGCAAAUUGCAUCUACUUGUACUCUCGUCACAGGGUUCGUGCUUUCAGCUUGGAAACAUGUAAGUUCAAGCGUCCUAAGCUCUUUUGGCCUUGUCCAUCUUUAUUUGAAUCCAGGUUCAAUUUGUGAAGGUAUGGGAAAGAGAAAAGGAAGAAAAACGAUGAAGCUGGAUUGUUUCUGAUUUUAUUUGGCUAUAUGUAGAGUUUUGUGCUCUUUGUUUCUAUGAUUGAGGAUUAGGAUGACAGAAUUAUGUUGUUAGACCCAAUGAUUUAAGUACUUGAGUUCUGAAAUGAAGCAGAUCAAGUCUUUGACAAACAGAAAUUAGCAUUAUGAUCAAACUAAUACAGGGUAGAAUGAAAAGAAGGUGGAAGGAGUGCUGAAACAGAGAAUGAAUGGAAUUAAACAAAUCAAAGAAUUGAACAAUGAUGAACGAAAUCAAAUCAUGAAUGAAAAAGAGAAAAUCAAAAUGACAAAAAUGAUAAGCUCAAUGGAUACAUUACUUCAUAACUCCAUUGUCAAGGAAUAGAAAUACUGGGUUUGGUAUGAGAAUUUGCAGGUUUCAUGCUUUCAGAUUGGAGACAUUCAUGUUGAAGGACCCUAAACUCUCUAGACACUAAACAUAUAAAAAAGGAAGAACAAGAAAAUGAAACCUAAAAACUCUCAGAAGGUAGGAAUGUUUGAGUUUUUUAUUUGGCUGUGUUUGUAGUCUUACAUUCUUGUCUUUAUGAGUAAGGUUUUUUAAUGUCAUUCUUCUUGCCCAAA
Arachis duranensis is the source of this 1960-nucleotide RNA transcript. It is a transcript of the gene named F-box protein At2g26160, with no coding region annotated. The transcript has 2 exons. NCBI's taxonomy places the organism in Eukaryota, Viridiplantae, Streptophyta, Magnoliopsida, Fabales, Fabaceae. The record is from RefSeq and is a predicted model, not a curated record.